AUAAUGGGUACAUUGAGUGUAUAUGAUGUGGAUGAAGAUGAACACUUGGAACUGAAAGUCAUUUCCACAUACAGCAAGUUCAGUUUGGUCUCACAGCGAUGUGUGCCAUUACAGAACGUCAACAACUACUGCACCGCGUCCAUCUUGAUGGAGGAGUCGGUGGACUUCGAAGAGGUGCAGGAGUUCCACAUCACUGUCAUGGCGACGGACAAGAGGAAGGUCCGCAUCUCAAACACUAUGACAAUCCGUGUCAAAGACGCCAACGACCCUCCUAAAGAUAUAAUUCUAAAUGGCCUAACGUCCAACGAGGUCAAAGUUCCCGAAGAUCAACGGUCCUUCACUGUAGCUACUGUUACCACCGUGG
Haliotis rufescens (red abalone) is the source of this 364-nucleotide long non-coding RNA. RefSeq lists it as uncharacterized. The transcript is spliced from 3 exons. NCBI's taxonomy places the organism in Eukaryota, Metazoa, Mollusca, Gastropoda, Lepetellida, Haliotidae. The record is from RefSeq and is a predicted model, not a curated record.